RNAcentral lists this ribosomal RNA (468 nucleotides) under uncultured bacterium. RNAcentral describes it as "partial 16S ribosomal RNA". It matches the Rfam family "Bacterial small subunit ribosomal RNA", at positions 28 to 507 of the family's 1533-position model. The record is from RNAcentral.
GAUGAACGCUGGCGGCGUGCUUAACACAUGCAAGUCGAACGGAAGGGCGCGACUUUUGCGUGUUUCUCGAGUGGCGAGGGGGGGAGAAACACGUGAGUAAACUGCACUUGACUUUGGGAGAUCAUCAGGAAACUGGGGCUAAUACCGCAUAGAAGCUCCUGCUCCACAGUGGGCGUAGGAAAGAUUCGGCGGUGUGGGAUGGAUUCGCGGCUUAUCAGCUUGUUAGUGGGGUAGUGGCAUACCAAGUUUUUGACGGGUAGGCGGCCUUAGAGGGUGACCGGGGACCUUGGGACUGCGAGACGCCGCAGUCUGCUACGGGCGGCAGCAGUCGGGAGUCUUACACAGUGAGCGCACGCCUGUUGCAGAGACGCCGCGUGCGUAAUGCCGGCCUACUGGUUGUAAACCGAUGUGGCAUGAGACGAAGCGUGAGUGACGGUAAUGGGUAAAGAAGCACCGGCUAACUACGUG